AACGCACAUUGCGCCCGCCAGCAUUCUGGCGGGCAUGCCUGUCCGAGCGUCAUUUCAACCCUCAAGCCCCCGCGCUUGGUGUUGGGGGACGGCGCGAGGCCCGGGGCUUCCGGCCCCGGCGCUCGCCGCCCCUGAAAUGGAUUGGCGGCCGCGGCGCUGCCUCCCCUGCGUAGUAGCACACUCGCACCGGGAGCGCGACGCGGCCACGCCGUAAAACGCCCAACUUCUUUAGAGUUGACCUCGGAUCAGGUAGGAAUACCCGCUGAACUUAA
This 272-nucleotide unclassified non-coding RNA is filed under the name uncultured fungus. RNAcentral describes it as "sequence contains ITS2". The record is from RNAcentral. Lineage: Eukaryota; Fungi.